GAGCAGCAGUGGGGAAUUUUGGACAAUGGGGGAAACCCUGAUCCAGCCAUCCCGCGUGUAUGAUGAAGGCCUUCGGGUUGUAAAGUACUUUUGGCAGAGAAGAAAAGGUAUCCCCUAAUACGGGAUACUGCUGACGGUAUCUGCAGAAUAAGCACCGGCUAACUACGUGCCAGCAGCCGCGGUAAUACGUAGGGUGCAAGCGUUAAUCGGAAUUACUGGGCGUAAAGCGUGUGUAGGCGGUUCGGAAAGAAAGAUGUGAAAUCCCAGGGCUCAACCUUGGAACUGCAUUUUUAACUGCCGAGCUAGAGUAUGUCAGAGGGGGGUAGAAUUCCACGUGUAGCAGUGAAAUGCGUAGAUAUGUGGAGGAAUACCGAUGGCGAAGGCAGCCCCCUGGGAUAAUACUGACGCUCAGACACGAAAGCGUGGGGAGCAAACAGGAUUAGAUACCCUGGUAGUCCACGCCCUAAACGAUGUCAACUAGCUGUUGGGGCCGUUAGGCCUUAGUAGCGCAGCUAACGCGUGAAGUGACCGCCUGGAGUACGGCAAU
This 547-nucleotide ribosomal RNA is filed under the name Alcaligenes faecalis. RNAcentral's name for it is "bacterial SSU rRNA". It matches the Rfam family "Bacterial small subunit ribosomal RNA", at positions 346 to 889 of the family's 1533-position model. Lineage: Bacteria; Pseudomonadati; Pseudomonadota; Betaproteobacteria; Burkholderiales; Alcaligenaceae. The record is from RNAcentral.